RNAcentral lists this ribosomal RNA (497 nucleotides) under uncultured bacterium. Its description in RNAcentral is "partial 16S ribosomal RNA". It matches the Rfam family "Bacterial small subunit ribosomal RNA", at positions 28 to 507 of the family's 1533-position model. The record is from RNAcentral.
GAUGAACGCUGGCGGCGUGCCUAAUACAUGCAAGUCGAGCGAACAGACGAGGAGCUUGCUCCUCUGACGUUAGCGGCGGACGGGUGAGUAACACGUGGAUAACCUACCUAUACGACUGGGAUAACUUCGGGAAACCGUAGCUAAUACCGGAUAAUAUAUUGAACCGCAUGGUUCAAUAGUGAAAGACGGUUUUGCUGUCACUUAUAGAUGGAUCCGCGCCGCAUUAGCUAGUUGGUAAGGUAACGGCUUACCAAGGCAACGAUGCGUAGCCGACCUGAGAGGGUGAUCGGCCACACUGGAACUGAGACACGGUCCAGACUCCUACGGGAGGCAGCAGUAGGGAAUCUUCCGCAAUGGGCGAAAGCCUGACGGAGCAACGCCGCGUGAGUGAUGAAGGUCUUCGGAUCGUAAAACUCUGUUAUUAGGGAAGAACAAAUGUGUAAGUAACUAUGCACGUCUUGACGGUACCUAAUCAGAAAGCCACGGCUAACUACGUG